Molecule: non-coding RNA, 21 nt
Filed under: Arabidopsis thaliana (thale cress)
Lineage: Eukaryota; Viridiplantae; Streptophyta; Magnoliopsida; Brassicales; Brassicaceae
Source: RNAcentral
CGAGAACAGAAAUCUCGUGUG